RNAcentral lists this unclassified non-coding RNA (277 nucleotides) under air metagenome. RNAcentral describes it as "partial contains small subunit ribosomal RNA, internal transcribed spacer 1, and 5.8S ribosomal RNA". The stretch from base 1 to 46 matches the Rfam family "Eukaryotic small subunit ribosomal RNA", at positions 1786 to 1831 of the family's 1831-position model. The record is from RNAcentral.
AAGUCGUAACAAGGUUUCCGUAGGUGAACCUGCGGAAGGAUCAUUAAAAGAUAUGGCAUAUCUCUAGUAGAUUAUACCUAAUCAACCCAUUCUGAGUACCUUACCUGUUGCUUCCAUACAGCGUUUAUUUUAUAUAAACAGUUCUGAUUUAAUUACUUGUAAUUAAAAAGGGAUAUGUAUGGAAGGUAAACUACAAACUCUUGCAUUACCAUAUAUUCAGUCUGAUUAUGUUUAAUAUAAACUAUUAAAACUUUCAACAACGGAUCUCUUGGUUCUC